Molecule: ribosomal RNA, 253 nt
Filed under: uncultured bacterium
Lineage: Bacteria
Description: partial 16S ribosomal RNA
Rfam family: Bacterial small subunit ribosomal RNA
Source: RNAcentral
UACGUAGGGGGCUAGCGUUGCUCGGAAUCACUGGGCGUAAAGCGCACGUAGGCGGACUCUUAAGUCGGUGGUGAAAUCCUGGAGCUCAACUCCAGAACUGCCUUCGAUACUGGGAGUCUCGAGUCCGGGAGAGGUGAGUGGAACUGCGAGUGUAGAGGUGAAAUUCGUAGAUAUUCGCAAGAACACCAGUGGCGAAGGCGGCUCACUGGCCCGGUACUGACGCUGAGGUGCGAAAGCGUGGGGAGCAAACAGG